Molecule: ribosomal RNA, 743 nt
Filed under: uncultured bacterium
Lineage: Bacteria
Description: bacterial SSU rRNA
Rfam family: Bacterial small subunit ribosomal RNA
Source: RNAcentral
AGUUUGAUCAUGGCUCAGAACGAACGCUGGCGGCAGGCCUAACACAUGCAAGUCGAACGAUACAGUGGCAGACGGGUGAGUAACGCGUGGGAACGUACCUUUCGCUAUGGAAUAGCUCCGGGAAACUGGUGGUAAUACCAUAUACGCCCUUAGGGGGAAAGAUUUAUCGGCGAAAGAUCGGCCCGCGUUGGAUUAGCUAGUUGGUGAGGUAAUGGCUCACAAAGGCGACGAUCCAUAGCUGGUCUGAGAGGAUGAUCAGCCACACUGGGACUGAGACACGACCCAGACUCCUACGGGAGGCAGCAGUGGGGAAUCUUGCACAAUGGGCGAAAGCCUGAUGCAGCCAUGCCGCGUGAAUGAUGAAGGCCUUAGGGUUGUAAAAUUCUUUCGUCAGGGAUGAUAAUGACCGUACCUGAAGAAGAAGCCCCGGCUAACUUCGUGCCAGCAGCCGCGGUAAUACGAAGGGGGCUAGCGUUGUUCGGAAUUACUGGGCGUAAAGCGCACGUAGGCGGACUUUUAAGUCAGGUGUGAAAUCCCGGGGCUCAACCUCGGAACUGCAUUUGAAACUGGGAGUCUUGAGACCAGGAGAGGUUAGCGGAAUACCGAGUGUAGAGGUGAAAUUCGUAGAUAUUCGGUGGAACACCAGUGGCGAAGGCGGCUAACUGGACUGGUACUGACGCUGAGGUGCGAAAGUGUGGGGAGCAAACAGGAUUAGAUACCCUGGUAGUCCACACCGUAAACGA